AUGAAGCGGCAGCCAAUUGUAGAAAAAACACCACAGUAUGAUUCAAAUAUGACCGAUUAUAUUUAUAGUGUGUGUGUGUGUGUGUGUGUGUGUGUGUGUGUGUGUGUGUGUGUGUGUGUGUGUGUGUGUGUGUGUGUGUGUGUGUGUGUGUGUGUGUGUGUGUGUGUGUGUGUGUGUGCGCGCGCAGCCAUGACAGUUAAGUGUCGCUGGUGUCAUAUUUGUGCAAAGGAGGAGUUGGGGAACAUCAUACCGGAUCAUCUUGAGCAACUUCUGCCUGAGGGUCACUGCAAUUUCAUUUGCAAAUACACACCCCUGGAGAGGGGUUUCACAGCCUCCUUAAAGCUUCAACUGGCCACCAGAGAGGAGGCAGAGACCUGGUUGGAGGACUUCCAACGGUCAUCAAGAGUGACCUUAAGAGUGGACAAAACGUAUCCUAUGACAGAGGAUAAAGUUCGGCGCAACAGCUAUCGAGUUGACAUGAGAUGCCAACUCAAGACAAGGCAGACGGCUUACACCAAAAGAAACACACACUGUCCCGCUGGGCUCUACCUUGUGUUGAAAAAGCACUGCCAUAGGGAUAACAGGAAGUCCAGAUCUAUUGAUACUCAUAUUCAGGAGGGAUUAUUGUUGCAUGUGACCAUCAAACAUCACCACAACCACCGCCUUGGUGGUUCCGAAUCCUUACAGCAGGGGGAUGUGGCCAGAGAGACCGUGGAGAAGCUGGUGAAACUUUUUCAGAGUGGGCACUCCCCCUUCUCAGCCCUAAACAUCCUGAAAUAUGACCUCCAGGAGGAGCAGGGGGAUUCAUGUGUGCAUGCCUCUGCAGAUAGUUCCAUUUGUCCAGACGUCCAAUUCUGCUACCGAUUAUACUACUCCAUUUUCAAGAAGGAGUAUGGAGCUGUAUCAGGGGAUGCCAUGCUUGAAAACCUCCAGGAACGUCUGGAGGUUUACAACAAGGAACAGUGUGAGACACGCACCCAAGAACAAGCUGGAACAACCGCUCCCCCAACCCCACUAGACGGCUCUGCCUCUGCAGGAGCGUCCUCUCAAAGUGAGUUGGUUGCUGAGUGUCUCAAAGGUCGUCUCAGAUCCAUGUUUGAUGGCCUCAUGGACAAGCUUGAAAAGGAUCAUGAGACCUUCCAAGCCCCAAUAGAAUCCCUAGUGUCAUCCUUUGAUAAAAUCCAUACUGACAGCGGCCUGGUCUCAGCACUGUCUACAUUUGGGAAGCUGAGGAGUGCUGCUGUGCGAAACAUCAAAAUGCAGCCAAGAAAAGGUCUGGAAAUGAGCUCACAAAGAGGCGUGCAGCCUACCGGUGAUGCUCGCCGUAAGACUCUGCUGGGGGGCAGACGGGUACUCAUCACUGGUCGACCUCCAAAAAGAGCCCUGAGGGAAUACAAGUAUGGGAAGGUUAAAGAGGGGAGUGGUGCACUGCCAAGGAGACCGGCACCACACACCAUUGCCCAGUGUGUCUCUGCUGGUGUUUCCCUAGGUGGCCAACACAGCAAAGAAUAUAAUGAUUAAGUGUGUUUAGUGCGUCGCGACGUAGGUCGCAUUGGUCGCGACGUAGGUCGCUCGUGUGGCUGCUUUCAGUCGCUGUGGUCGCUGGCUGACUUGGUCGCUCAAAAUCUAUGGGCGGUCGUUUAUCAGUUGAUUUGCAUGUUAAGGUAAUUUAACGUUUUUUUUGCGACAGUUGAAGUACCAGAAAGCCUUGCUCUCUGGCGAAAGCUUCCUACAGCUCUUUAUUGCAAAUAUUAUUUUUAUAUUUUUAUAUUGAGGUAGGCCUACAGUUUAAAAUGAUGAAAUCGUUGGUCUAUCAGUGUCAAUAAAAUAUAUUAGUUGUAAUUUGGGGCGGGUUCAAAUAAUCUAUUUUAGAUAUCAUAUAGCCUAUUUGUUUUGUUAAAUGACAGUAAGCCUAAUAAGGUAUAUUAUACACAAAGUGUGCUUUCCAGAGGUAUGCAACACUGUUUAUUCUUUUUUUAAUUUUUAUCAUCAUAAUACUCACUCUGACACACACACACACACACACACACACACACACACACACACACACACACACACACACACACACACACAAAAGGUUCAUAAUAAAUAAAAUCUGUCAUAUUUGAAUCGUACUGUGUUGUCUUUUCUACAAUUGGCUGACUGCUGCUUCAUUCAUAUGUUGUAGCCAAAUAACUUGGGCAUAAUAGUUUCAUUAAAUAGUUUAUAUUAAGCAGGCAGAAUGCAAGUUAGGACCAACACAUCUUUCGUCACCUCAGGGAGUCAACUCUGUUGACUGUUCUCUUAAUCGUUGGCCUACUGCUUAUUUGCUGGUUGGGGAAAACUUGGAGCCUAAUUGUUAGAUUGUGGUAAAUGUUACUCAACUGCAGUGUAGUCAUUACAUUUCUCGCUGCUUUCCAUUGUUCCCUCUGUGUAAUUGUGUGUAUUAUUAUUUAAUGGACCCUUACGUCAAAGCUGAUCAUAAUUAUGAUGUAGGCUAUCACUAGAUUGUCUAGAUUAUGGACUGACCUGCACUGCACACAGCUGGGCAAAAUGUUUGUAUGAUUUAGUACGAUGGUAUGAUAAUUAUACGACGUAAUGACGGGCUGCGACGCCUGGCUGGUAUCGGCUGGCUGGCUGCGACGACUGGCCAGCCUUGGCUGGCCGCUGUCUGCCGCUGGCCACUGGCCGCUGGCUGCGGCUGGCAGCUGGCUCUGGCAGGCUGACCGACUAGGUCGGUCAGCCGUUGUUAUUUAUUGGUCAACAUGGAAAAAACAUGAGGGGUAACUCUGUCGGUUUUUAUCGGCCAUCAUGAAAUAAACAUAAGUGGUAACACUGUUGUUUUUAUCAAAUGAAACAUGAGGGGUAACACUGUCGAUAUUUAUCAAAUAAAGCAUGGGGGUAACACUGUUGUUUUUUUAUUGGUCGUCAUGAAUAAAAACAUAAGGGGUAAUAGGCUACUGUUGUUUUUUAAUUGGUCGUCAUGAAAAAAAACACAAGGGGUAACACUGUCGUUUUUAUCAAAUGAAACAUGAGGGGUAACACUGUCGUUUUUAUCAAAUGAAACAUAAGGGGUAACACUGUCGUUUUUUAUCGGCCGUCAUGAAAAAAACAUAAGGGGUAACACUGUCGAUAUUUAUCUAUUAAAACAUAGGGGGUAACACUGUCGUUUUCAUCAAAUGAAACAUGAGGGGUGACACUGACAUUUUCCUUUGGUCGUCAUGAAAAAAAACAUAAGAGGUAACACUGUGGUUUUUUAUUGGCCGUCAUGAAAAAAAACAGUUUUUUUUUUUUAUUGGUCGUAAUGAAAAAAAACAUAAAUGGUAACACUGUUGUCUUUGUCAAAUAAAAUAUAAGGGGUAACACU
Molecule: long non-coding RNA, 3346 nt
Organism: Gadus morhua (Atlantic cod)
Lineage: Eukaryota; Metazoa; Chordata; Actinopteri; Gadiformes; Gadidae
Source: Ensembl